UACGGAGGGGGCUAGCGUUGUUCGGAAUUACUGGGCGUAAAGCGCGCGUAGGCGGACCAUCAAGUUGGGGGUGAAAUCCCGGGGCUCAACCUCGGAACUGCCUCCAAAACUGCUGGUCUUGAGUUCGAGAGAGGUGAGUGGAAUUCCGAGUGUAGAGGUGAAAUUCGUAGAUAUUCGGAAGAACACCAGUGGCGAAGGCGACUCACUGGACAAGUAUUGACGCUGAGGUGCGAAAGCGUGGGGAGCAAACAGG
This 253-nucleotide ribosomal RNA is filed under the name uncultured bacterium. Its description in RNAcentral is "partial 16S ribosomal RNA". It matches the Rfam family "Bacterial small subunit ribosomal RNA", at positions 524 to 776 of the family's 1533-position model. The record is from RNAcentral.